This 470-nucleotide ribosomal RNA is filed under the name uncultured bacterium. RNAcentral's name for it is "partial 16S ribosomal RNA". It matches the Rfam family "Bacterial small subunit ribosomal RNA", at positions 28 to 506 of the family's 1533-position model. The record is from RNAcentral.
GACGAACGCUGGCGGCGUGCUUAACACAUGCAAGUCGAACGGAAAGGCCCUGCUUGCAGGGUGCUCGAGUGGCGAACGGGUGAGUAACACGUGGGUGAUCUGCCCCUUACUUUGGGAUAAGCCUGGGAAACUGGGUCUAAUACUGGAUAGGACCAUGCUGUAGGUGGUGUGGUGGAAAGAUUUUUUCGGUAAGGGAUGAGCUCGCGGCCUAUCAGCUUGUUGGUGGGGUAAUGGCCUACCAAGGCGUCGACGGGUAGCCGGCCUGAGAGGGUGGACGGCCACAUUGGGACUGAGAUACGGCCCAGACUCCUACGGGAGGCAGCAGUGGGGAAUAUUGCACAAUGGGCGCAAGCCUGAUGCAGCGACGCCGCGUGGGGGAUGACGGCCUUCGGGUUGUAAACUCCUUUCAGCCAUGACGAAGCCUCUUUUGGGGUGACGGUAGUGGUAGAAGAAGCACCGGCUAACUACGU